This 253-nucleotide ribosomal RNA is filed under the name uncultured bacterium. Its description in RNAcentral is "partial 16S ribosomal RNA". It matches the Rfam family "Bacterial small subunit ribosomal RNA", at positions 524 to 776 of the family's 1533-position model. The record is from RNAcentral.
UACGUAGGGUGCAAGCGUUGUCCGGAAUUAUUGGGCGUAAAGAGCUCGUAGGCGGUUUGUCGCGUCGAAUGUGAAAACCCGGGGCUCAACCCCGGGCCUGCAUUCGAUACGGGCAGACUAGAGUUCGGUAGGGGAGUCUGGAAUUCCUGGUGUAGCGGUGAAAUGCGCAGAUAUCGGGAGGAACACCUAUGGCGAAGGCAGCUCGCUGGGACGUUACUGACGCUGAGGAACGAAAGCCAGGGUAGCGAACGGG